GUUUUCUUUGACAGCACAUAUACUAAAAUUGAAGUGAUACAGAGAAGAAUAUCAUGGCCCCUGUGUAAGGACAACAGGCAAGUUUAUAAAGUCUUCCAUGUUUUU
Molecule: small nuclear RNA, 105 nt
Organism: Equus asinus (donkey)
Lineage: Eukaryota; Metazoa; Chordata; Mammalia; Perissodactyla; Equidae
Source: Ensembl